GAAAAAACAGAGACACAAGAAGCACACACGCAAGAGUCAAUUUUCCUGUUUCCUAAGGAAUUGCUGUCUUGUUCGGUCAUCGGUGGUUUUUUAAAGAGUACGAGAUAAAGAUAGAGACGGUGGCUUUGUCAUUGAAAUUCAUGCUCCGAUAUUGUGUCGGGUCAGGGUAAUCGAUCUUACUGGUAGUAUGGAGGAGGUAAAAAGGGAUGCGAUAAAGAACGGUAGACGGUUGAUGAAGAGUUUAACGGAGAGGAACCCUAAGCAGCCACUUUGUUGGAUUGCAUCUGCGAGGUUGGAGGAGGACGCUGGGGAAAUGGAGGCAGCGAGGCAAUUGAUUCAGAAAGGAUGUGAGGAGUGCCCAAAUAGUGUGGAUGUGUGGUUGGAGGCGUGUAGGAUUGCGAUUGCGAAUGCGAGGAUUGAAGCAGGUAAGGUUGUGAUUGCCCAUGGAUUGAAGUUGAUACCCAAUUUGGUGAAGCUGUGGAUGCAGGCUGCAAACUUGGAGCAUGAUGACUCGAAUAAGGGCAGGGUUUUGAGUAGAGGAUUGCAACAUAUUCCUGAUUCCGUUCUGCUGUGGAAGGCGGUGGUUGAGCUCGCCACUGCCGCGAAAUCGAAUGAGGACGAGGAAGAGGAGGAGAAUGCAAAUGCAAGGCAGAGCAUGAACUUGUCUCGAAGCCCGAGAAAGGGGGGAGGCACAGAGAGAGUAUGGAUGAAAUCAGCAAUUGUUGAGAGAGGAUUAGGGAAUGUUGAAGAGGAGAGGAAAUUGCUUGAUGAAGGGUUGAAUAAAUUUUCUUCGUUCUUUAAAUUGUGGUUGAUGCUUGGACAGCUAGAGGAACGGCUUGAUCGUUGGGAAAAAGCUAAGGAGGCUUAUGACUUGGGCCUGAAGCACUGCCCUAAUUCUAUACCGCUCUGGCUUUCUCUUGUUAAUCUUGAAGAGAAUUUGAAUGGGGUGACUAGUGCUCGUGCACCUCACGCUAGCCAGCCAUAAAAAUCCUCACAACCCUCAACUGUGGCUUGCUGCAACUCGAACUGAAUUGAGGCAUGGUAAUAACAAGGAAGCUGAUAUUUUGAUGGCGAGGGCUUUGCACGAGUGUCCCAAUAGUGGUAUCUUGUGGGCAGCAUAUAUUGAGAGUGUGGUACCCCUACCCCCUUCUCAAUGGAUGGCCAAGGUUAUGGAUGCCCUCAGGACAUGUGAUUACGAUCCCCAUGUCAUUGCUGCUGUGGCCAAGUUAUUCUAGCAUCACAGUAAGGUUAAGAGAGCUAGGACUUGGCUCAACAGGGCCGUCACAAUUGCCCCAGAUAUUGGGGAUUUCUGGGCUUUAUACUUCAAAUUUGAACUUCAGCAUGGGACUGAUGAGAACCAGAAGAAUGUUUUGCAAAGAUGCAUUGCUUCACAACCAAAGCAUGGUGAAAAAUGGCAACCUAUGUCCAAGGCCCUGCACAACUCUCACCAACCAACUGAAGCUAUCUUGCAUCAAGUGGUGGCUGUACUCGGCAAGGAAGAGAGCUCGCAGCAGGCAAGGCAGGAGCCCCAAACUGAUAGACUCUAGUUGUCCGUUCUCCGGGCUUCUCCUUUUUCCAGGUUAUAUUUCUUCUAAAAUGUUCUCCAAAGUUGGACCUUUACCAGUAGUUUCACUUGUGGGCAUCCUAUUUAUAUGUUACUCUAUUUACUUAUGAGCUUUUCUCAAUUUCAUUUUUUAUUGCCAAUUGCCUUUGGAUGGUUCGGUGAUGAGGCUUGGCUUGACUUAUUAAUUACUUGUUGUUCCUAUAUAUGUCAUUUUUUACAUAUUCAGUUUUGAGCUGGGUGUUAUUAUGUGUUUUCCUUUAGCUCUUUGUAUUUCCCAUACUCCCCCAUCUAUAUUCGUUCCUUUUGAUAUCAUAAUAUCUAUCUAAUUCCUUCCUCAUGCCUGUGCUUUUCAACUCCGAGAGGAAACUUGAAUUCCUCGCCGGAGAUUAGCUGAAGCAGGUAGUCUGAGACAUCACAGUAAGAGGGCAGGAUUUUGGAAAAUCAUUGUCCUCCAUAGGCAGCGUUCCUUACACUAAUGCAACACGCAAUGGAAAGUAAUAGGUAAGAUUGCUACAGCUUCAAGAUAUAUCGAAAAUGCCCACAGAACCUAUUACAAUAGAUCAAAGCUUCAAUCAGAUGUGAGUAAAAAGUAACAGCAUCAUACAAACUGACGUAAGUUAAAAAAACUGGCUGCAAGCUUUCUUUCCAAACAACUGGCAGUGCAAGAAGACGUUCCUCUGCUUAACUUCAGAAUUAAUCAAGUUAUGAUGAAUGAUGCUGAUCAUGUGAUGUCAAUUACUUUUUGGUUGAUCAUGGGGGUUUGGUUUAUGCACUGUCAUCUGGAUCGGCAUAUGUUAUGGGGCACGGAUGUGAAGUUCAUUGUGAAAACUGGAAAGGGUCUAGGAGCCCAAAUUUUAGCUCCGCCACCAGGAAGGCCUCCAUGCUAAUAAUUUCUAUAAAGCUCUGUCUGGCUGUAUAUAUGUUCAUGGGAUGACAAUAAAUUGGGCCAUGUAAUGCAGUCCUUCCUUGCCUACCAUUAUACUACACUUUGGAAUGC
Prunus mume (Japanese apricot) is the source of this 2561-nucleotide RNA transcript. It is a transcript of the gene named protein STABILIZED1 pseudogene, with no coding region annotated. The record is from RefSeq and is a predicted model, not a curated record. NCBI's taxonomy places the organism in Eukaryota, Viridiplantae, Streptophyta, Magnoliopsida, Rosales, Rosaceae.